Molecule: ribosomal RNA, 440 nt
Filed under: uncultured bacterium
Lineage: Bacteria
Description: partial 16S ribosomal RNA
Rfam family: Bacterial small subunit ribosomal RNA
Source: RNAcentral
CCUACGGGUGGCAGCAGUAGGGAAUAUUGCGCAAUGGGGGAAACCCUGAAGCAGCAACGCCGCGUGGAGGAUGAAGGUUUUCGGAUUGUAAACUCCUUUUGUUAGAGAAGAUAAUGACGGUAUCUAACGAAUAAGCACCGGCUAACUCCGUGCCAGCAGCCGCGGUAAUACGGAGGGUGCAAGCGUUACUCGGAAUCACUGGGCGUAAAGAGCGCGUAGGCGGGAUAGCAAGUCAGAUGUGAAAUCCUAUGGCUUAACCAUAGAACUGCAUUUGAAACUGUUAUUCUAGAGUAUGGGAGAGGUAGGUGGAAUUCUUGGUGUAGGGGUAAAAUGCGUAGAGAUCAAGAGGAAUACUCAUUGCGAAGGCGACCUGCUAGAACAUAACUGACGCUGAUGCGCGAAAGCGUGGGGAGGAAACAGGAUUAGAUACCCCAGUAGUC